GCGGAUGUGGCGGAAUUGGCAGACGCGCAGGUCUCAGACUCCUGUGGAUAUUGCUUCCUUGUGGGUUCAAGUCCCAUCGUCCGCACCA
This 88-nucleotide transfer RNA is filed under the name Eubacterium sp. RNAcentral's name for it is "tRNA-Leu". It matches the Rfam family "tRNA". Rfam says of the family: Transfer RNA (tRNA) molecules are approximately 80 nucleotides in length. Their secondary structure includes four short double-helical elements and three loops (D, anti-codon, and T loops). Further hydrogen bonds mediate the characteristic L-shaped molecular structure. tRNAs have two regions of fundamental functional importance: the anti-codon, which is responsible for specific mRNA codon recognition, and the 3' end, to which the tRNAs corresponding amino acid is attached (by aminoacyl-tRNA synthetases). tRNAs cope with the degeneracy of the genetic code in two manners: having more than one tRNA (with a specific anti-codon) for a particular amino acid; and 'wobble' base-pairing, i.e. permitting non-standard base-pairing at the 3rd anti-codon position. The record is from RNAcentral. RNAcentral also lists the same sequence under 3 other names. Lineage: Bacteria; Bacillati; Bacillota; Clostridia; Eubacteriales; Eubacteriaceae.